GUUUCUGUCUGUCUGUCUGUCUGUCUGUCUGUCUGUCUGUCUGUCUGUCUGUCUGUCUGUCUGUCUGUCUGUCUGUCUGUCUGUCUGUCUGUCUGUCUGUCUGUCUGUCUGUCUGUCUGUCUGUCUGUCUGUCUGUCUGUCUGUCUGUCUGUCUGUCUGUCUGUCUGUCUGUCUGUCUGUCUGUCUCUGUCUCUGUCUCUGUCUCUGUCUGUGUGUGCAUACUGUGCGUGUGUGUGUUUGUUAAAUGGUUCUAUAUACUGUAUAUCACAGUGAUGCCUUCACACAACAGAACAGCGAUAUUUAUGCACAUUACAAAAAUGUCUGUCUUCUUCUUUUUACAGUCUGCAGGGCUUUCAUCACCACUGAAUGGUAUGCUGUCCUGAUGUCUCUCUCAAAGCCAGGAGGACUGACGUGGCGUCAGAGACUUCCAGGUUCUCUGUGGAUCAGCCCCUGAGAGCUGUAGGAUCCACGCAGGAGGAUGCAGGGCCUCAGGAGGAACAGCUCUAGCCAGCUCUGACUUCUGGUGGGGCAGGACAGCUGGUGUUGUGAAUCAGGCCGCUAUAGUGCCAGACACGGCUUCUUCCCAACACCAGGGUCACACCCCACUGUCCGCAGCACCGAAGCCCCGGAGCCCAGCCCUCUCCCUCACCGGCAGCAAGGCACAGCAGCAGAUCACAGGAGGACAGAUUAAAAAUGCAUGCCGAGACUAGUGGAGGAUGUGUCUUUCAAAAACAGACUAGUCGAAGUUAAUUAAAAAUAAACUAAAUAUUCCACUGUGUAUCUGGGGCAUAAGAGCAACAUUUGAGCAUCGUCCGAAGCAUAACCACCAUUGUUUAAUUCUCAAUUGUGAUUAAAGUAGAGUUGUAUUGUAUUGACUUGCCCUAUGACAGUUUCUGUGUGUCUGCACACUAGGACUAGGAUUCCCAGAACCGCUAGUGGAUGGGAAUAGCAUGAAAUGAAUAAUCAAUCAUAAUGAAAUGUGUUCCGGUUUAUGUAAAAGCAUGACAAAUGAAAGGCUGGGUCUAUUCCUUUGUCUGGGAUUAAAUUGAAAAUGGAUUUUGAUGUUAGUCUCAGUCUUAGUAUCAGUACGCUUUGUUGGCAUCCCUCUGUGCUGCGUUUAUUUCACUUUAUAUUAUAUACUUUUAUUAAAACUCAUCAAAGGACUUUUUAUUUGUUAUUCGUUACGGAACGAAUGUUAUGUUUUCAUUGUGUGGUGGUAGUUUGUGAGUGAAAGUGUUUAAGUACAAUUGUGAAUUAGUUUUUGCAUCAUUAUUCCAAUAAUAAAGCAGGA
Molecule: long non-coding RNA, 1291 nt
Filed under: Salmo trutta (river trout)
Lineage: Eukaryota; Metazoa; Chordata; Actinopteri; Salmoniformes; Salmonidae
Source: RNAcentral